RNAcentral lists this ribosomal RNA (369 nucleotides) under Sancus acoreensis. RNAcentral describes it as "partial 12S ribosomal RNA". The record is from RNAcentral. Lineage: Eukaryota; Metazoa; Arthropoda; Arachnida; Araneae; Tetragnathidae.
UAAACCAGGAUUAGAUACCCUAUUAUAUUUAAACAAAUUGGGUAGUAUUAUUAAUAAAAACCUUUAUACUUUGGCGGCAUUUUAUCUUAUUAGAGGAAUAUGUUCAUUAAUCGAAACCACACGAUAGUUUUUACUUACUAUAAAAUUUUAUAUACCCCCGUCUAAAGAAUUUAUUUAAAAUUUUUAUUCCAAAUUAUAUUAAAAAAAGUUAGGUAAAGGUGUAGACUAUUAGUAAGAUUAAAUGUAUUACAUUAAAAAAAAUUUAAGGAUAAAACAGUUAACUGUUUAUUAAAAGAGGAUUUAUAAGUAAUUUACUUUUAAUAAAAAUUAAUGAAUAAGAAAAUAAAUGUGCACAUAUCGCCGGUCACU